This 253-nucleotide ribosomal RNA is filed under the name uncultured bacterium. RNAcentral describes it as "partial 16S ribosomal RNA". It matches the Rfam family "Bacterial small subunit ribosomal RNA", at positions 524 to 776 of the family's 1533-position model. The record is from RNAcentral.
CACGUAGGGCGCAAGCGUUGUCCGGAAUUAUUGGGCGUAAAGAGCUCGUAGGCGGUCUGUUGCGUCCGCUGUGAAAACUCGGGGCUUAACCCCGAGCCUGCAGUGGAUACGGGCAGACUAGAGGUAGGUAGGGGAGAAUGGAAUUCCCGGUGUAGCGGUGAAAUGCGCAGAUAUCCGGAAGAACACCGGUGGCGAAGGCGGCCUGCUGGGCAGUGGCUGACGCUGAUGCGCGACAGCGUGGGGAGCAAACAGG